GAGGAAUAUUGGUCAAUGGACGCAAGUCUGAACCAGCCAAGUAGCGUGCAGGAUGACGGCCCUAUGGGUUGUAAACUGCUUUUAUGUGGGAAUAAAGUGGCGCACGUGUGCGCCAUUGCAUGUACCUCAUGAAUAAGGACCGGCUAAUUCCGUGCCAGCAGCCGCGGUAAUACGGAAGGUCCGGGCGUUAUCCGGAUUUAUUGGGUUUAAAGGGAGUGUAGGCGGUCUGUUAAGCGUGUUGUGAAAUUUAGGUGCUCAACAUUUAACUUGCAGCGCGAACUGUCAGACUUGAGUACACGCAGCGCAGGCGGAAUUCAUGGUGUAGCGGUGAAAUGCUUAGAUAUCAUGAGGAACUCCGAUCGCGAAGGCAGCCUGCGGGAGUGUUACUGACGCUUAAGCUCGAAGGUGCGGGUAUCGAACAGGAUUAGAUACCCUGGUAGUCCGCACAGUAAACGAUGGAUGCCCGCCGUUGGCGCCCUGCGCCUGCGGCCAAGCGAAAGCAUUAAGCAUCCCACCUGGGGAGUACGCCGGCAACGGUG
This 539-nucleotide ribosomal RNA is filed under the name uncultured bacterium. RNAcentral describes it as "bacterial SSU rRNA". It matches the Rfam family "Bacterial small subunit ribosomal RNA", at positions 356 to 896 of the family's 1533-position model. The record is from RNAcentral.